Molecule: long non-coding RNA, 606 nt
Organism: Trachemys scripta elegans
Lineage: Eukaryota; Metazoa; Chordata; Testudines; Emydidae
Exons: 5
Source: RefSeq, a predicted model, not a curated record
UCCUGCAAGAGUUAGUGAUAUAAGUAGCCCUUAUAGCAGUGGAGGGACGGAACCUUAAACGUUUCUGAUAUUAAUGACAUGGCUGGAGAACCUCAGCCCCCUGAACUUGGAUCCUGGCAGAUUUCUUUAUCAAAUUUGGCUUGGAGCUGUGAAGUCAUUAAUUGAAAACACUGAAGGCAGAAGGUGUCUGGGGAUUACUGAAUACUAAAUUCUCUAGAUUCAUGGUGUUUGAUAUUAGAAGAGAUCCAAUACUGUUUUCUGGCAGGAGAGGAAAAACAACUUAGAACCAGCAAUUUAAGGACUGCUGCCACCAGAUUGGUCUAAUCCAGUUCCAGCUGCUCUACUGCGCCUGUGUGUGAGCAAGGGAGCUCAGCAGGGAAAGAGAAUAAAGCAUCCCGGUUCAGCCAGCAGCAGGACCUGGAGGAAUAUUCAAGCUCACGGGGGGAAAUAAAGUCUUCGUUAAAGAAAAGAAGUGUCUGCCAGCUAGGUCAACUGUGGUGACAUUAAACACAACGCCUUUGAGCCAGAGGAUCAUGAAGAGACGCUGUGAAAAAGGACAGUUCCCAAUACUCUCUCCAUCUAUACCAGCCUAGGGGAAAGAAAGGG